This is a non-coding RNA of Camellia sinensis, 2744 nucleotides long. The record is from RefSeq and is a predicted model, not a curated record. Lineage: Eukaryota; Viridiplantae; Streptophyta; Magnoliopsida; Ericales; Theaceae.
CUACGCCUCUUGGAAAUUAAUUUGUAGAGUUUCAAAUCUAUACUUUUGCUAUUUUUGGAGAUUCAUAGACUUUUGUGUGGCUCGCCUCAACUUGGAAGACUAGAAUUUUUUUGAAGGAUCACAGGUGGGCAUCUUGUGGUUGAGGUUUUGCUUAGGGUCAUUCUAGGAUGUAAGCUUACCCUUUUUUUUAUGAAGGAGGUUGAUUGUAAAUAUUGCUUAUGAAGUUGGAUGUAUUGAUGGAUUCGUGAUUAGUAUGUAUUAUAUUUUUUUGGGGAGGAAAUGCUUGGGAACUAUCUUGUAGCAUGAUAAUACUUUUUUUUGUCUUUGAAUAGAUCAUCUCAUAUAUGUUAGGCAAUUGAAAGGUCUUAUGCACUUUUGGUGAUGUGGUGAUGUGAUGUAAGAAUUAUACAGGAAUUGUGGUGUAAAGGUGCUAUAGCAUUUGAGGUGCACCCUCUUGGCAGGGUUUUGCCUUGCCAAGAUUGGGUCGUUACAUUUUUUGGUAUCAGAGCUCGAGUUAAUAUCUCCCACACGAGUCCAUUGAGCGUUAGAAUGUCUAGAACGGAAUUAAGUUGCAUGCAUCUAAUAAGUAAGUGAUAAGUUGUGCACUUGGGAAUAUAUGUGUUUGUGUAAUAGAUUUAAGUAUUAAAACCAAGAAUUAAGAGUUGUAGGGUAUUUUGUUGCUUAUAAGAGGACCGAAAUGUGUUUGUUUAAUAAGUGUGGUAUUGAGGCUAAGAGCCAAGAACUAUUGAGGAACUUUUUCACAUUAUAAGUAAAUAUUAGUGAGUACAAGUAUAAUGAUCUGCGAGAAUGUAGUAUUAUAAGAACUAAAGGUUAUUUUGGAAUUCGAUGAUUAAGGACUGGGAUAUGUGUGUUCAACAAGUUUAGUGUUGAAGAUAAGCGUUAUUGUGAAAUUUUCUUUUUAUGUUGUAAGGGAAAUGUAAUUUUUGAUCAUAGCACAUUGGUGAGUACAUGCAUAUUGAUUCAUGUGAACACAGUAUUAAACAGAAUUAAAAGUUUUUGAUGGAAGUUAGGAAGGCUAUGUAGUUAAAUGUAAAAUUAGACUAUGAGAACAUUUUAGGAAGUUAAAGUAUUUGAUGAUUAAUGAAGUGUGUCGAACUAUGGUGAUUGAGAGUUAGAAAACUAUUUGAUAUGAAGAUGAUAUGCUAUUUUGAUGAAGGACCUAUUAUAUGAACCAUGGAAGUUCAUACUUAUGUUGAUGACCUUGAAAGUCCGAUUAGAAUCACGUUCGGCCAACAUAGUUUCGAAUCGGAAAUUCUUGAUCAACUUCAUGGAAUGAAUAGGUUGCCCUACCAAUCUCUUUGCAAAAAAAAGAAUUGUUUAAUUAUGGUUGAAUUUGUGAUGUAUGAUUUAGGUUAUCCAAUAUUACCCCGAAUGUUAUCUAUCUUGUCUUGUGACUCUAAGAAAAGAUAAUGAGAAGAAAGAACAAAAUGGAAGUUGAGUCUAUGUUGGAGCAAUUGGGCAAAAUAGAGGAAGUGUUAAGAAAUAUAAUGAAAGCUAGGCAAUAAUGCUAUGGGAAACUGCAAGAUUAUAAGAAAAGUAAAGUGUUAAGUCAAAGAAGGAAUUACAUAAUAUGUUUGAGAAGCAGAGUAUUAAGUGUUAAGCAAAGUUUGGAGUGGUAAGAAAUUUUAAGCAAGAUAUAAGUUCAUUCCCCAAAUGUUCAAUUUGUUGCAAAUAUUAUAACGGGGUAUAUCAUCGAAUUUUAAGAGCAUACUACAAAUAUGGAGAGAUAAAACAACUAACGAAGGAUUAUUUAGGAGUAAUAAAAUUUUAAGGAGAUUUCAAGUCAGCCAGUCAGUUUAAAGAUUAGUUUCUAACCCAAUUGCUAAGUAAAGGAGUACUUUAAGCAUGUGUAUAGAAUUUUGAGUUGUUAUGUCAUAUAUGUUUUGGGAUAUGUGAAUCUUUCCUACCUAAUGUUUGGCAGACAUAAGAUACAUUUACUUGGAUUUUGGAACUCCAUCUGAAAAUGCUAAGAAUAUUAGAGUAUGACCAAGACUUAGAUUUAUUGUAAAGAAGCCUUUAUCUAGUACUACUACUUAGAAGAGUUAUUGCGAAAUGAAAAGCAAGAAAAUAUUUUUGCGGAAGUUAUAAAUGCAUAUUUCUUAAGAACCUCUUAGGACAAAGAAUUUGAAUUGACUAACUUGCAAAGGAUUGAGAAAGACAAAAUUUGGUUUCAAAAUACUUUGAUGAUAGCUUUGAUGCUACUUGAUGGUUGAAGUAAGUUAUAUAUGCAUACAAGAGAAUUGGAAAAUUUAGAAUUUAUUUGCUUAGGCAUUUGGAACCCAAUAUGAGAUUGUUAAGACAAUUAGAAUAAGAUUGUUAUUUCGUGUACCUCAACUAAUUGUGAGUAAAGUGUCCACACGUUAAUUGAUUCAAGACCCAUCCAUUCAUUUGAAGCUAAUUGUUAUAAGAUGAAUAUAUCAUUGGAAAUAUUAUUAUAUAAUAAUAAAUAACUAAAUAAAAAAUGUUUUUUUUCGUUAGUUAGAGUAUUAUAUUACUUGGGAACUUGUACUAUGAUUAUGGUUCGAUAUGGACCCUAGAAUGUAACGUUUUGAGUGAAUGGAUUUUCUAUCUCUCAAGUGGAUGUGAUCAUAUACCUAAGCGAGUCGUCUUUGACUUUUGAGAUUAAAUAGUUAUUUUGUGGAACCAAUGGAGUAAAACCCCAGCCUAUUUGAUUUGUCAAUAAGGCCAUUGUGGUCCGAGUAUUUGUGGACCCAAAAAAAAAA